This 166-nucleotide small RNA is filed under the name uncultured Acetatifactor sp. RNAcentral's name for it is "Clostridiales-1 RNA". It matches the Rfam family "Clostridiales-1 RNA". The record is from RNAcentral. Lineage: Bacteria; Bacillati; Bacillota; Clostridia; Lachnospirales; Lachnospiraceae.
GAUGCCAGGGUCAAAAGGUCUAAGCCCACAUGAGCUUGCUCAUAAGUGGGUGAAAGACCUUUUGACCCGCCCCGAUAUGAGCAUAAAAGUGGGAUGAUAAUCCCACGAUAUGCGAAUAUUGGGUAGGAUUGUGGGAGUGCGUAGCACGGAACAAUCCGUAGACAUC